UUUUUUUUUUUUUUUUUUUUUUUUUUUUUUUGGUGGCGGUGGCGGUUGGGUGCGUUGCAAAAAUGAAGGAUGCGGGACGCAGCUCUCUCUUGGAACCGAACGCAGUGGAUAAACUGAUUGUGCAAGAGAGAAGGAAGAAGGAAGCUUUUUCUUGUGAGACCUGGAUCUUAACACAAAGGUGUAUAUGUGCACACAGGGAGCCUUGAAAAAUGAAAUAAAGCAGUGUCAGACCCACGGGAGUUGAUGUGUUCGGACAUAAAUAAAUAAUAAUAAAACAGCUUGCCCCCCCCCCCCAAAGGAUGAUUGGAAAUGGAGAACGGAGAAGCCACAAAGGAAAAGUAUGUUCAUUUUUUUCUAUAAAGGAGGAAGUAAGCCAAGGAGAUAUUUUUGGAAUGAAAAGUUUGGGGCUUUUUUUAGGAAAGUCAAGACUUGACAUGGUGGUGGUGUUUUCUUUUUCUUUUUGAAUUUCCCACAAGAGGAGAGGGAAUUAAUAAUACAUCUGCAAAGAAAUUUCAGAGAAGAAAAGUUGACCGUGGCAGAAUGAGGCAUUGAUUGGGGGAGAGAAACCAGCAGAGUACCGUUGGAUUUGUGCCUGUGUUGACUAAAAUUGACGGAUAAUUGCAGUUGGAUUUUCUUCAGCAACCUCCUUCCCCCACCCCCCUCUUUUUUUUUUUUUUUUUUUUUUUUUNUUUCCUUUUUGGUGUCAAGAUCAUGCGUUUUCGCUUGCUCUUAACCACCUGGAUUUCCAUCUGGAUGUUGCUGUGAUCAGUCUGAAAUACAGACUGUACUUGUGGCAUAUGCAAGUUCCCUGGCUAGGGGUGGAAUCAGAGCUGAAGCUGCUGGCCUACACCACAGCCACAGCAAUGCGGUAUGCUCCAAGCCUCGUCUGUGACCUAUACCCCAGUUCGUGGCAACGCUGGAUCCUUAACCCACUGAGAAAGGCCAGGGAUCGAACCCACAUCCUCAUGAAUCCUAGCCAGAAAGGAGGGAAGGAAGGAAGGAAGAAGAAAGAAAACACUUGCAUAAUGUGUGUUGAUUCGUCUUCUCUGCUCAGCCAGUAGAAAUCUUCUGACUUGUUGCUGUCAAUUCCAGGACAUUUUGGCCUCCCUCUAAAGACUUAGCCAUCUCUCAUAUAAGUGAAGUUGACAGACAAAUGGCCUUGGUAUAAAUGAGAUUUUACCGAAAUAUUUUGUAUGUUAUGUGGCAAGCAAUUCUUCAUCAAGUGCUUUUCAAUUCAAGGCUAGAGCAACUCAGUAACAAGCAUGGGACAGAUUCUACUCUUUCCACUGUAGGAGUGAGGAGACUAAGGUUUAGAGAGACCAGGUAGCCUGCAGGAAGUCACACAGCUCAAGAGCAGAUGCAUUGAGUUUCCUCUCGCUUGCUUAGACACUCUGUGGGUUAGUCAUUAUUGCACCAAACAAAUUACUUUGCAUAAUUUUUAAAAGUAGUUCUCUCAGAAGUUAUAAAUAGUGUUUGGGUGGUUUUCAUAUAUCUAGACUAUUGAGACAGAGCAGAGAACUGAGUAUUUAUCACCCUUGCUAUAUUGAAACUUGAGAGGAAUAGCUAGAAUUAUCAUGAAAGUUUUAGGAAAUUUCUUAUGUUUUUCAAAUAUGUUAGGCCUAUUCUCUCACAGGGUUUUUGCACUUACCUUUUCUGCCUGAAAUGUUCUAGAGCAGGCAGCUUUAUGGCCCAGCCCCGACUGCCUCAGAGUUGGGCUCGAAAGUCACCUCAUGAGGGAGAUCUUGCUUGACCACUAAUGUAGAAGUACAACCCUAUCUUCAUGCUCCCUACCCUUCUUCCCUGCUUACGUGUGUCCAAAGUAUUUGUCAUCUCAAAUGCCAUAGAGUUUACUCAUUUCUUCAACAUAAACUUUCAGAGGCGAGGUAUUUUGUUUGUUGUAUUCACUGGGGUCUCCUUGGUUCCCAGAAGAAAGCAUAUGGUAGGCAUUCUGUGAAUGUAGUGGAAUAGUUAAUGAAAAGUGCAUCCAUGUGCAUACGUGCAUGAAAACGUGUAUAAUUUAAGAAACUGUAUGAUGUGUCACACUUAAAAAAAAAAGGUAAGUGGUACAGGCAAAUCUAAAAAUGAUAUGGCACAAGGAAAUUAUGCUAAAAUCUAAAAGUGAUAUAGCAAGGAAAUUAUGAAACAGAGAUAUGUAAUCUCCUUUCUUCAUUAGCCUGGUCAGUGGAUUCUUGAGCCUUGCUCACAGGGCCAUCUUCAGAGAAGUGUGGAAAUGAGUGGCAAGUGGUUCAAACCUUACUGGCUCACUAUAUUCUGCUCACUCCCGGUACAUGACACCCUAUUUACUUCACUUAGACCUUCCGGGCUCUUGUUCUCUUACAUCCAUCAAAAUGGAUGUUUUCUCUUACAUCCAUCAAAAUCUGUUUUCAAAUCCUUACUUUAACUAAAGUGCAAACAACUAU
RNAcentral lists this long non-coding RNA (2420 nucleotides) under Sus scrofa (pig). RNAcentral describes it as "lncRNA (ENSSSCG00050022767.1)". The record is from RNAcentral. Lineage: Eukaryota; Metazoa; Chordata; Mammalia; Artiodactyla; Suidae.